AAACUAACAAGGAUUCCCCUAGUAACGGCGAGUGAAGCGGGAAGAGCUCAAAUUUGAAAUCUGGCGGCAUCCUGUCGUCCGAGUUGUAAUCUAUAGAAGUGUUUUCCGCGUCGGACCAUGUACAAGUCCCUUGGAACAGGGCGUCAUAGAGGGUGAGAAUCCCGUCCUUGACAUGAUCUCCGGUGCUAUGUGAUACACUUUCAACGAGUCGAGUUGUUUGGGAAUGCAGCUCAAAAUGGGUGGUGAAUUCCAUCUAAAGCUAAAUAUUGGCGAGAGACCGAUAGCGAACAAGUACCGUGAGGGAAAGAUGAAAAGCACUUUGGAAAGAGAGUUAAACAGUACGUGAAAUUGUUGAAAGGGAAACGAUUGAAGUCAGUCAUGCUCUUUGGGUUAAGCCUUUCGGGGUGUAUUCCAUUGAGUGGGGUCAACAUCAGUUUUGACCGCUGGAAAAAGGCACGAGGAAGGUAGCACUCUCGGGUGAACUUAUAGCCU
RNAcentral lists this ribosomal RNA (492 nucleotides) under Naganishia antarctica. Its description in RNAcentral is "eukaryotic LSU rRNA". It matches the Rfam family "Eukaryotic large subunit ribosomal RNA", at positions 62 to 563 of the family's 3401-position model. Lineage: Eukaryota; Fungi; Basidiomycota; Tremellomycetes; Filobasidiales; Filobasidiaceae. The record is from RNAcentral.